This 491-nucleotide ribosomal RNA is filed under the name uncultured bacterium. RNAcentral's name for it is "partial 16S ribosomal RNA". It matches the Rfam family "Bacterial small subunit ribosomal RNA", at positions 29 to 507 of the family's 1533-position model. The record is from RNAcentral.
AGUGAACGCUGGCGGUAGGCCUAACACAUGCAAGUCGAACGGCAGCACAGUAAGAGCUUGCUCUUACGGGUGGCGAGUGGCGGACGGGUGAGGAAUACAUCGGAAUCUACUUUUUCGUGGGGGAUAACGUAGGGAAACUUACGCUAAUACCGCAUACGACCUACGGGUGAAAGCAGGGGAUCUUCGGACCUUGCGCGAUUGAAUGAGCCGAUGUCGGAUUAGCUAGUUGGCGGGGUAAAGGCCCACCAAGGCGACGAUCCGUAGCUGGUCUGAGAGGAUGAUCGGCCACACUGGAACUGAGACACGGUCCAGACUCCUACGGGAGGCAGCAGUGGGGAAUAUUGGACAAGGGGCGCAAGCCUGAUCCAGCCAUCCCGCGUGGGUGAAGAAGGCUUCGGGUUGUAAAGCCCUUUUGUUGGGGAAGAAAAGCAGCAGGUUAAUACCCCGCUGUUCUGACGGUACCCAAAGAAUAAGCACCGGCUAACUUCGUG